GACGAACGCUGGCGGCGUGCUUAACACAUGCAAGUCGAACGGAAAGGCCCUGCUUUUGUGGGGUGCUCGAGUGGCGAACGGGUGAGUAACACGUGAGUAACCUGCCCUUGACUUUGGGAUAACUUCAGGAAACUGGGGCUAAUACCGGAUAGGAGCUCCUGCUGCAUGGUGGGGGUUGGAAAGUUUCGGCGGUUGGGGAUGGACUCGCGGCUUAUCAGCUUGUUGGUGGGGUAGUGGCUUACCAAGGCUUUGACGGGUAGCCGGCCUGAGAGGGUGACCGGCCCACUUGGGAAUGGGAAACGGCCCAGCCCCCUCCGGGAGGCAGCAGGGGGAAUAUUGCACAAUGGGCGGAAGCCUGAUGCAGCAACGCCGCGUGCGGGAUGACGGCCUUCGGGUUGUAAACCGCUUUCGCCUGUGACGAAGCGUGAGUGACGGUAAUGGGUAAAGAAGCACCGGCUAACUACGUG
This 467-nucleotide ribosomal RNA is filed under the name uncultured bacterium. Its description in RNAcentral is "partial 16S ribosomal RNA". It matches the Rfam family "Bacterial small subunit ribosomal RNA", at positions 28 to 507 of the family's 1533-position model. The record is from RNAcentral.